This is a long non-coding RNA of Oreochromis niloticus (Nile tilapia), 1772 nucleotides long. RefSeq lists it as uncharacterized. The transcript has 3 exons. The record is from RefSeq and is a predicted model, not a curated record. Lineage: Eukaryota; Metazoa; Chordata; Actinopteri; Cichliformes; Cichlidae.
GCAGUUUGUUGUUCUGGAGCAUUCAGGUGUUUGUUAACACAAAGCCAAGGAGGAGAGGUAUCAGCAAUGAUCUUAGAGGCGCAAUUGUAGCUGUCCAUCAACCUAGGGAGGGUUAUAGAGCCAUAACAAUCUGAAGCCCAUCGUUCAUAAGCGAGAAAGAUUAUUCACAGUAGAAAACAUUCAGUUCUCAAUCUUCCCACAAGUAGACGUCCCUGCAAAUUUAGCACAAGGAUCAAGGAGCUACAGUGACCCAGACCUCAGGCUGAGAUUCCAAGAUAGUGUGUCGCUAUGAAUUUUGGGAUACCAUCACUUCCUUCCAGAUAGGAUGGUUUGGUGUAUCUUUUGGAAAAGGAGCCUCCCAUUUCCACUGUGAGCAGCAACUAUAAACUUUUGUGUCUUCAGGAUUACCUUUCCAUCACGGGAUGAAUGAAGUGUGAAAAGCAAUCUGAGAAUCGCCAGGCCACUGAUACACAACUUCUGCGGAUGCAAUUAUGCCAAUGACAGAUCAUUUUCUGACCUUUAUCCUCCAGCCAGUGUUGAUGGCAGUUUGCUACUGUGACAGACUGCUUUUUGUUUUCAUGUAUUUUACAGUUGUGUGACAGCUGAAAACCUGGCUCUUAAAGGCUGAGGUGCUCAUCUGAAAAGACAGCCUGACCUUUUGUGCUGCUCUUUUUCUUUCGCUCUCUAUUUACUUAUGUUGUGUAUGUCCCUGUCAGUGUAACAUUCUCAUUAUUUCUUUACUGCCACUUCUGUCUCUUCCUCUCUCUCUCUUCCUCGGUAUCUUUUGUCCCAUUUCUCUCUUUCUGUCUCCGUAUUACGUGUAUUUCUAUCAGGUAUUUUCCAAAGUCUGUGUCCAGGACCAAACCAGUGUUUUUGUUCUGGCUGAUGCCUUCAUUCAAAGGUUCACGGUCCUGCUUCAGGUAAAUUGCUCCUUCUGACAAACAACCACGAGCGCAGAUACAGACACACACCUUUGAACGUAGUGUUGCAGUCCAGUUUCUCAAUUCUGCAGGUUUGUGCUUUUGAAAUGGAUUCCAUCCAUUUCAUCUUGUUGUCAAGCUGGUUUUGUCACGUGUUGUAUUUUUGCAUGCAUUUGCACAUAUUCCUGUUUACCUGUGCUCAUAUGUUUUUGCUAUUUUGCAAACUGGUGAGCUGUCACCUCUCAUGGAAUACAUAGUCUGUCUCACUUGUGAGGACUUCCUGCAUUAAUUUUUUAAAAUUCCUAUUUCCCUUUUCCCCCUCAAUUAAAAUCAAAAUACAAAAUACAUUUCUCCUAAAAAAAUGAUUGAUUAAUUUGCAGUUCUGUGACAUAAGUACAUUUCACACUGCUUUCCAAAUUGACAUGUCUAUGAACUCCCCAUUCUACUUGUAUAUUUUACUUUCUCACUCUUAUCACUGCUACUGUUGACCAAUUAUCUCUCUGGACUUUGGCUGCAGGUCUACUUUGAUGUUGAUUUCACCUUUUAGAAAACGGGAUGUGACCUUGAAUAUGUUUAUCUUCAGACUUUCUCACUUUUUAUGAUGUGCAUACAUACAUCAUACAUACAUAGCAAAUACUUACUUUUUUGCAGUGCUUUUGUUUUCUAUUCAAUUUUAUUUACAGUACAUACAGCCAAAUGACAACAGUCACCUCAAGUUGCUUUAUAUUGUAAUGUAAAGACCCUACAAAAAUACAGAGAUAACCCAAACAAUCGAACCACCCCCUGUGAGCAAUACUUGGUGACGGUGGGAAGGAAAAAAUCCCUUUUAACGGGAAGAACCUUUCGACAGAA